CAGCUUUUAAUUUUUCCUCAUUUAGUAAUUUUCUAUAUGAGGACUAGACUCCAUUUAGGGAAUUUUUCCCUUUUGGAUCUAAACCCAGAGGUUAAUACUCAGGGUUUGUUGAAUGACUGCCUCUUGUAUAUGAGAGGAUGGGGUAUGUUUGGUAUGAAAGUGGUAAUUGUGAAGGGGGCUCAUCCUCAGAAUAGAAAGAAGUUCAGAAAAAAGAUUAAAAAAGAGAAAUGG
Non-coding RNA from Pelobates cultripes (western spadefoot toad), 231 nucleotides. The record is from the annotation of a GenBank genome assembly. NCBI's taxonomy places the organism in Eukaryota, Metazoa, Chordata, Amphibia, Anura, Pelobatidae.